GCCUGAGUGGUGAAAUCGGUAGACACAAGGGAUUUAAAAUCCCUCGACGUUCGCGUCGUGCCGGUUCGAUUCCGGCCUCGGGCACCA
This 87-nucleotide transfer RNA is filed under the name Aeromonas caviae. RNAcentral's name for it is "tRNA-Leu". It matches the Rfam family "tRNA". From Rfam's summary of the family: Transfer RNA (tRNA) molecules are approximately 80 nucleotides in length. Their secondary structure includes four short double-helical elements and three loops (D, anti-codon, and T loops). Further hydrogen bonds mediate the characteristic L-shaped molecular structure. tRNAs have two regions of fundamental functional importance: the anti-codon, which is responsible for specific mRNA codon recognition, and the 3' end, to which the tRNAs corresponding amino acid is attached (by aminoacyl-tRNA synthetases). tRNAs cope with the degeneracy of the genetic code in two manners: having more than one tRNA (with a specific anti-codon) for a particular amino acid; and 'wobble' base-pairing, i.e. permitting non-standard base-pairing at the 3rd anti-codon position. The record is from RNAcentral. Lineage: Bacteria; Pseudomonadati; Pseudomonadota; Gammaproteobacteria; Aeromonadales; Aeromonadaceae. RNAcentral also lists the same sequence under 2 other names.